GAGUUUGAUUCCUGGCUCAGGACGAACGCUGGCGGCGUGCCUAAUACAUGCAAGUCGAGCGGACAGAAGGGAGCUUGCUCCCGGUAUGUUAGCGGCGGACGGGUGAGAACACGUGGGUAACCUGCCUGUAAGACUGGGAUAACUCCGGGAAACCGGAGCUAAUACCGGAUAGUUCCUUGAACCGCAUGGUUCAAGGAUGAAAGACGGUUUCGGCUGUCACUUACAGAUGGACCCGCGGCGCAUUANCUAGUUGGUGAGGUAACGGCUCACCAAGGCGACGAUGCGUAGCCGACCUGAGAGGGUGAUCGGCCACACUGGGACUGAGACACGGCCCAGACUCCUACGGGAGGCAGCAGUAGGGAAUCUUCCGCAAUGGACGAAAGUCUGACGGAGCAACGCCGCGUGAGUGAUGAAGGUUUUCGGAUCGUAAAGCUCUGUUGUUAGGGAAGAACAAGUGCAAGAGUAACUGCUUGCACCUUGACGGUACCUAACCAGAAAGCCACGGCUAACUACGUGCCAGCAGCCGCGGUAAUAC
This 535-nucleotide ribosomal RNA is filed under the name marine sediment bacterium ISA-3133. RNAcentral describes it as "bacterial SSU rRNA". It matches the Rfam family "Bacterial small subunit ribosomal RNA", at positions 9 to 526 of the family's 1533-position model. The record is from RNAcentral.